RNAcentral lists this ribosomal RNA (595 nucleotides) under Rossellomorea marisflavi. RNAcentral describes it as "bacterial SSU rRNA". It matches the Rfam family "Bacterial small subunit ribosomal RNA", at positions 71 to 650 of the family's 1533-position model. The record is from RNAcentral. Lineage: Bacteria; Bacillati; Bacillota; Bacilli; Caryophanales; Bacillaceae.
GAUGGGAGCUUGCUCCCUGAGAUCAGCGGCGGACGGGUGAGUAACACGUGGGUAACCUGCCUGUAAGACUGGGAUAACUCCGGGAAACCGGGGCUAAUACCGGAUAACACCUACCCCCGCAUGGGGGAAGGUUGAAAGGUGGCUUCGGCUAUCACUUACAGAUGGACCCGCGGCGCAUUAGCUAGUUGGUGAGGUAAUGGCUCACCAAGGCGACGAUGCGUAGCCGACCUGAGAGGGUGAUCGGCCACACUGGGACUGAGACACGGCCCANACUCCUACGGGAGGCAGCAGUAGGGAAUCUUCCGCAAUGGACGAAAGUCUGACGGAGCAACGCCGCGUGAGUGAAGAAGGUUUUCGGAUCGUAAAACUCUGUUGUUAGGGAAGAACAAGUGCCGUUCGAAUAGGGCGGCGCCUUGACGGUACCUAACCAGAAAGCCACGGCUAACUACGUGCCAGCAGCCGCGGUAAUACGUAGGUGGCAAGCGUUGUCCGGAAUUAUUGGGCGUAAAGCGCGCGCAGGUGGUUUCUUAAGUCUGAUGUGAAAGCCCACGGCUCAACCGUGGAGGGUCAUUGGAAACUGGGGAACUUGAGUGCA